Neoarius graeffei (lesser salmon catfish) is the source of this 834-nucleotide long non-coding RNA. RefSeq lists it as uncharacterized. NCBI's taxonomy places the organism in Eukaryota, Metazoa, Chordata, Actinopteri, Siluriformes, Ariidae. The record is from RefSeq and is a predicted model, not a curated record. The transcript has 3 exons.
AGCACUUUUGCAUUUGUGUUUUCCUCUGCCUUCGGCUUGCUGCACCCUGACCCAGUCCAACCUGCAACAGCCCAGAGCAAACGGAUCCGCUUGGCCACAUGAGCUCACAGUGGAUUUACAUACAGAGCAGAAUCAGUUUGUAUCGAUGAGCAGCUGUUGCUGAGAGAGUGGAGUACAGCAGAGAGCAGAGUGUCAUCAUUCUGCAUUUUGCAUUCUUGGGGGUGGGGAGUAAGUGAGGACGAUUAGAGAAGUGAUGGUGGUUGGGAUCUAUAUUUAGCCUGUCGUGACCCCCUUGCACUGCAACAGCUGUCCCUCCUCUUCGUCUCGCCAUGCAGUGUCAGGAAUCGAGGAGUCCAGUCAACCUGUGAGGGACGUGAACUCGUCGGAUCUCCCCUUUGUCUCUCUGUCUCUUUGUGGUGGCUUCUUCGAACUUGUCUUGUGGAUCGUUUUGAAAUACGGAGGGUAGGGAAGCCACACUGGCACUGAAGAACCAGCACAGAGGAGCUGAGUUUCUUUGUUCAGGUGUUACCCGAGUAGACUGUAUGGCAGUACUGAAGACGUAGCUCCCAAAAAAAGUGCUGUGCAGACGUUCUUACUUGAAGCUCGGUCCAAGGUUGACGUCUCCAAUACCAGAAUCUAUUGUGCUCGGAAUCUUAUCUCUUGGCUGUCACAUAUCGGCUCUCCCUGCCGUUCAUCCCCUGCUCCUCCUUAGCCAGCCCAGCCCAUGAGCGCAACGUCACCACCAUGGCUUUCUCAUCACGCUUUUCCUUCUGGGAGCAAAAGGAAAGUGGUGUUCCGUUCUCAAUUCUCCUUUCACUGCGCAGUGUGGUCCAA